This 74-nucleotide transfer RNA is filed under the name Caudoviricetes sp. RNAcentral describes it as "tRNA-Glu". It matches the Rfam family "tRNA". From Rfam's summary of the family: Transfer RNA (tRNA) molecules are approximately 80 nucleotides in length. Their secondary structure includes four short double-helical elements and three loops (D, anti-codon, and T loops). Lineage: Duplodnaviria; Heunggongvirae; Uroviricota; Caudoviricetes. The record is from RNAcentral.
GGCCCAGUAGUCGAAUUGGCUAAGACAUCUCCCUUUCACGGAGAAGAGUUCGGGUUCGAUCCCCGGCUGGGUCA